AUAUUAUGUAUCUGACACUAGCGCACUGUUAAUGUGAGGAUAUGAGUGUAUCAAUGUAACAUUAGCAAUUGAGAAUAAAAUGAUUCUGAGAUUGGACUCUUUAGUAUAUCUUUGUCCAGUAACUUCGUUAUGUGCAGUGAGCCACAGUAAACCUAAAUAUAGACCACCCCAAGGUUUCAGUUCGCUUCGUUCUAACCAGGCUCUUGCUGCUGAAACAUGGUUUUGCGAGUUGGGUUUUGAGAAAUUGCUCCUGUUCAGACAGAACUCCAGCAAUCUCACAAAAACAUACAAUUUGCCCAGACCUUUAACUACAAAAUGCAUGCGUUUAGACUCCUAUUUCUUCUAACAAACCAAAACUGAGCUCAACAUAUAGCAACUAAAAACUCACAUUCAGACCAGCCAAAAAUGACUUCAAGACUAGUUUGUGCGAGUUUCAUAUUACGUUGAUCGACCUUAGAUUCAUUAAUCCGGGCUACCAGUUGUAGAAUAUUUAUAAAUAUUUACUUUCUUUGUAUGUGUACGUUAAAUAUUUUGUAUAGAUGUAGGAGAUACUUUUCCUAUUAGCACUACAAUUGUAUCUCUAUAUAAACAUCUAAUAUGGAGAAGAAUAUACAUCGAAGCAUACAAAAUUAUAUUGAAUCAUUAUUUUCUACUUGGCAUCAGAGCUUGUCAGGUUCGAUCCUUUUUUGAAUGGAUCCGGCUCCUCUAAAGUGAGCAAGCCAUAAAGUUAGUAAAUUUCAUAAAAUCUUUAACCUACGUCUAAUCUAAUGGCUCAAAAAUAUUCACAUGCAUCAAUUCAUUACAAAAAAUGUUGAAAAUUCUUUUAUAUAUUGACAAUAACUUUAAAUGCUUUAUUUCUCUUCUCUUUUUUUUCUAUUUUUAAUUUAACCUCCAUCUUUGUUCUCUUCUGUAAACCAUGGAUUUUUCAGCAAAGCAAAGUUGCAAAGAUUCAUGGUGCAUAUGAAUGCUUCGGUGCUUAAUUAUAAGAUUAUUGUAAUAUUCAUAAACAAUUGUGAUUACCUUAACCGAAUUAUAAACCAAAAGCAUUAGAAAAAAAUUGGGUAGAUCGAUCCUACAGUUCAAUUAUAUACAGAAAAACCAACUAUCUUGGAAAACCCAUGGCCAUCAUCUCUAGAAAUCAAUAUAGAAUGCAAAUUACGGAGACUAGAGUCUAGAGACUACAGGAAGAAAAACUUGUGAAACCACUUUAGAAUGAAUGAAACGAAGGCUUUUCAUAUAUUCUUUUCUAUUAAAAACUUAUCAUCAAGUUUAUUUAUCAAUUCAGAAUUUCAGAUAUGAAGAUUCGCUUAAUCAAAGAUCGAUGAAGAUAUAUAUCACGAUAUACAACCACUUUUUAAUUGUUUUUUUUUUUUCUGAGAAAAAAAGAAUUUUAUAGAAAUAAGUGAAUAGAUUUUCAAAUAAAUGAUUUUAUUUAACGUAGAUAUAUUUGAACCGUUAGAUUAGAUGGAGGUUAGAGAUUUUAUGAAAUUUACUAACUUCAUGACUUGCUCACUUUAGAGGAGCCGGAUCCUUUUUGAAUUUACACCCAAAACACCACAAAUCGCUGCGUACCAGAAACCCCACAAAUUACACAAAUUCCCAAAUCCCAAAACCAAAGCUAAUUUCCAAAUCACACCACAAACAAAUCGUUGCAUACAUCAAAAUCAUAAUUCCCGAAUCCUUAAAUCUCAAAAACCAAACCUCCAAAAAUGGUACACCAAAUCAACUACCAUACCGUCGCACCAUGCCGGUCUCCAUACAAACCAAAUUCAUAUGUGAACUCAAAAUGUCCGCUAUGUGGAGUAUUAGGUCAUAGCAAACAACGUUGCUUUGAAACAAUUAGGUACCCGAAUUGGUGGGAUUUCACCCUGAAACCUCAGAAGAAUAAAACAGAUGGGAGCAUUGACAAGUAUAAAGAACGGUUGGUUGCCAAGGGAUACACCAAGCGAUAUGGCAUUGAUUAUGAAGAAACGUUUGUGCCUGUAGAAAAGAUCAACACUGUUUGAAUCUUGAUUUCACUUGCAGCAACUAAAGAUUAGCCUCUACGACAGUUUGAUGUGAAGAAUGUUUUACUCAAUGGAAACUUGGAAGAAGAGAUGUGUAUGGACAUGCCCCCAGGAGUUAAAUGUAGACCUUGCGAUGUCAGAAAGGUUUGUAAGUUGAAGAAGUCUCUGUAUGGUUUGAAGCAGUCUCCUAGAGCUUGGUUUGGAAGAUUUUCCAAAUCAAUGAAGACAUUUGGUUAUAGACAAAGCAACUCGGAUCACACUUUGUUCAUCAAGCGUAAUCAGGGUAAGAUCACCGCUUUGAUUGUGUAUGUUGAUGAUAUGAUUGUUACAAGAGAUGACUAAAGGAGAUGGAGACUCUACAAAAGUAUCUUUCAAAGGAGUUUGAGAUGAAGGACCUUGGACAGUUAAAGUAUUUUCUCGAAAUUGAAGUUGCAAGGUCAAAGAAUGGAAUUUCUUUAUCCCAGCGAAAGUAUGUACUUGACUUGUUAGCUGAAACUGGCAUGCUUGACUGCAAGCUUGUUGAGACACCAAUUGAGAUGAAUCACAACCUUGCCAUCUAUCCAAAUCAAGUGCCAACUGAUAAAAGAAGGUACCAACGUCUAGUAUGGAGACUUAUUUAUCUUUCUCAUACUAGACCUGAUAUUGCUUAUACUGUGAGUGUGGUUAGUCAAUUUAUGUAUUGUCCUAACGAAGAGCAUAUAGAUGCAGUGUAUCGUAUUUUGAAGUAUCUUAAGAUGGCACCUGGAAAAGGCUUGUUGUUUGAAAAGAAGGGUGAAUUGGAAGUUGUAGGGUACACAGAUGCUGAUUGGGCUGGUGAUAAGACUGACAGACGAUCUACAUCUGGGUAUUUUACAUUUGUUAAAGGAAACCUUGUAACUUGGCGUAGUAAGAAGCAGAAGGUUGUUGCUAGGUCAAGUGCUGAAGCAUAAUUUUGAGGUAUGGCACAUGGAGUUUGUGAGAUGUUAUGGAUUCGUAAUGUGUUGAAAGAAUUGGGUUUUAAACUCAGACAACCUAUGGACUUGCAUUGUGAUAACACGUCUGCAAUUGAAAUUGCUCAUAAUCUUGUUCAAUAUGACCAGACCAAGCAUAUGGAGGUAGAUCGACAUUUUAUCAAGGAAAACUUGGACAGGAAAAUAAUCCGUUUCCCUUUUGUGUAUACAGAAGACCAAUCGGCAGAUGUUCUUACGAAACGAAAGGAGUGUCAAGGAAAGUGUCGACUCUGUUGGCAAGUUGGGCAUGAUUGAUAUCUAUGCACCAACUUGAGGGGGAGUGUAGAAUAUUUGUAAAUAUUUAUUUUCCUUGUAUAUGUAGGUUAAAUAUUUUGUAUAGAUGUAUGAGAUACUUUUCCUAUUAGCACUACAAUUGUAUCUCUAUAUAAACCUCCAAUAUGGAGAAGAAUAUACAUCGAAACAUACAAAACCAUAUUGGAUCAUUAUUUUCUACUCCAGUCACUUGUACCAUAGUUCUCAUAACCCACAAGCUUCUCAACCUUUUCAAUCAAAUGUUGUUAUUUCGGAGCAUGUAGAACCUCUGAGACAACCGCCGGGGACUGUUAAUCACAUCCAUAUCCUCUAAAUUGUAGAUUCUAUCCAUUUGUGAAGAGGUCGUCGGGGACGGUUGAUAUGAAUAGAAUGGAACAUCACAUUGCGAAAUCUCUUGUAUAUUUAGCGUACGAAUCAUAAUACACAUUUGUAUUUAGCAAAAAGCUUGAUUCUAAUCAAAAUGGAACUAUCAGAAACCCGAAAUCAUCCGAGACGUUAAUUGCUUGUAUUAAGACUUGGCUAUGACAUUAUUAAGAGAUACCCUCUUGAAAGCUCGAGAGGAGAAUUGAUCUCAUAUCCUUGUGAUGGAAUGCAAGAGAAUCCGAACUAUUGAUCAACGUUGUUACAGGAAAAUACCAAAUUCCCUGGCAGCUUAACUCUAUCAUUCGAGACACUAGACAAAAAUCUUCUACCUUCUCCUCUAUUUCCUUCAUUAAUUCUUAGAAAAGCAAUUUUUGGGGCUAAUGCUAUCGCGACCUCUGGUCAUGCAUCAGAUUAGCUUAUGUUAUGACAUACAUCAUCUUUAACUUGAUUUCAUAUGAUAUGUUGAGAAACACUCCUACUAGACGAUCAGUACUUUUUUUUUUGUUUUUUGGGUAAAUGAAGUGAUUCAUUUAAGGGGAAAAACCCAAGAUAGAGUACAUAACAAUAUCAGGAAAGUAAUCAAGCAACUAAUCUCUACAAGAGCUAGCAAUAGCUGACUACCCCUAAAAACUUAAAACUAAGAACAUAGGCCCAGUAAAUGGCCCAAAACAUUACAAAACCCUAGCAACAACUGUAGAGCAACCAGAGCAGCCGCCGCCAACGAAGGAGGGUCGUCGAACUCACGCCGGAAGCAACACAACAUGGAUUUUGUAAUGAUGUUUCCGUUCCAAACGAAUCUCAAAUCAUAAACCUUAGGAGACCCAAUAUCCAAAUUCUCUUCACCAUAGACACACAAAACUGGAUGAAACCAUGGCUGCCGAGAUGGUACCAAGAACCAGAGCGGAGACCAAGAACAACGACAAAACCGAUGGAGAAUGGGGGUGAAACACCCAUGCGUGAUUACCCAUACUCGCCAAGGUAAGUGACAUGCACUUUAAACUCGCAGCCAUACGUAUCCUCACGACGCUUAUGUGUAGAGGCAGAAGAGAUGAUAUGGGAUUGGGUAUUCAUAGAUCUGCAAACAAAGAGAUUAAUUGACAAAAUAUACAGAAAUAAAAGGAAAAUCGAGGAAACAAGGUCCUCCUGGUCUGGACAAAAGCCAGAAAAUCACCACAAAGGGAACAAAAGAUCACAGAAGGAUCAAUAGAUCACCACAAGGGUGAGAAAAUGCUGGAUAAACCAGAAAAACAAGCUGAAGAUCAGUGAGAUUGGUGGAACCCCCAGAGCUAGAAAAGCCUCCCCCAACUCUUCUCUUGUCGAUCUAGAUCCGGAUAGAUCAAGAUCUGGAUGAGAGAGUGGGGGAGGAGAAGGCUGGAACUUAGAUCUGGUUUCUCCCGAUCAGACUAAUAUGUAAUGAUACUAAUGAUUUCAAAAUGCGAAGUCUUGUAAGUACAAUUACGAUCGUAACAGAAUUUUUAAUUUUUGUUUUGAUAUCACCACUAUUAUGACCUAUGUUUAUCGAUGGAUAGCUACCAUCAUUGCUUACCUCAAAGUUAUCGACAAUCUGGCUUGAUAACAGACUCAAAAGUAAACUUAACCGUUAACAAUAUCAAAAUUAUAGAGACUAUGAAGUAUGAACUAGCAUUUGAUCAGGCCAGGGGAAGCCCCCUGGGAGUAGGAUGAUCUAAAAGCGAUGUGAAUAAAUCAAGAAAAGAGCUUGACACGCUCAGAUCCUCUUUUGGUAACGUCGUAUUUAGUUACUUCUAUUUCUCUCAUAUUAAAGAUUCUAAGAAAUCUUUACGAAAAUACUAGUACCGUCCGACUUGUCAUUCAUAAAACGGGUUAUGGUGUGAUGUUUCCUCCAUCUGCUUUGAUAUAUUGAAUUACCAUUAGAUAUACACAGAUAUACCAAAGAAAGUAAAAUUAACGGAAGUCGUCAGUCAAACGAGACUAGUCUUAGUCUAGGCAGUUCAACACCAGUGUCCAGAUGCAUCACGGCAACGUGUAGAAGUGACGUACACGUGGCAAAACGCUGUUGAAAGAGAGAAACACGUGUCGGGAAGUAGGUGGCACCACCUGACUUUCUGGAAACUGCUCCAAUUGAAAUUAGUUUCCAGUUUUGGUUCAGAAAGGUUGAUCAAUGUGGUGACGACACUCUUCUUACUUGCUGCGUCUGCACAAACCUAACAUACUCGCUGCCUCUUUGCUCCAUUUUUGUUUUUAGGUCGCUACUCUUUGCCCCAUUAUACACCCUGCACUAUUUUUCUUCAAAAUAAAUGUGAGAAAAACAUAGCACACUUUCACCAUUUAGGUACACAAAGAAAACCAUUUGGGUUUAGAAGGGUACCUUUAAUCAUUUCACGGACUUUCGUGUUCACCGAUUGAAGUAAUCAACUAAAACAAUGAUGCUAGUUUCUGUUAAAAUCCAACGUCUUAUAAUCAUAGGGUAACUCUAGAAGUAUAUAUACAAUGGGUAUAUUAACUCUAGAUAACCGUUGCAGUUUAUCUACAAACAUGAAGUUUGAGAUUCAUAAGAGCUGUCUAUAAGUGAUGUUGAACAAUAAUGUUGAACCACUAACCAGUUAUGUCAUUCAUAAAAUAGUUGUUUUAUAACAAAGUAGUAUCGUCACAUUUCUCUAUUUAUCAUCCUAAAAUGGUAGAAGAGUAUUUCCAAAGAUAUAUUAUCGAUCCUCAAUAGUAUGUCAUUGUCUCCCUUGUCAACAUUUUCCAGCAUGUUUUGAAAAUGGUUUCAUUUAAACUUUGAAGGAAUAGCAGUGGAAUAUGUGGUUUCAUUGUUUAGUGUUCCCAAUACCUCAAUCACAGCCUUACGUAACUCUCUGCCAGAAAACUCGGUUUUAUUAUCCGUCUUUAUCAGCCUUGCGCAAGUUUCACAUAUACACAUGUGAAAUGCUUCAACUGGCUUUGGAACAUAAUGCAUUAUCACUUUAACAAUUUCAGAAUUCAAACUUAUAAUGAAGAAAUACACCCAACAACGAGCAAGACUUUAACUCAAGUGGUGCAUAUGUGGCUCGGCUAGUAAUUUUGGUCGUUUAACCGACAUCUCCUCUUACAAACACAGAGCUAGGCGAUUAGAGAUCUUUCUAUGUCGACCGUAGACGCGAGACUACAAUAGAACUCUGUGCUCCAUUCUUACACGUUCUUAACAAACUCCCCCAAAUUUGCCAACGAAAACAAAAAGGACCCAAAAACCUCGCUCCUAUAUAAACACAUUUCCAAAACCCUCCGUCUCUCUCUAAACCCCAGCACAACAUAACACAACAACACAACACAAACGCAUCACACAACCUCAGAGCGACCCGACCAAACCGCCACCAUGUCCGGCGCUCUGAGAAGAAACACUACCCUCACCCGCCUCUUACACAACCACACGCGCCACCGCCCGAUCCCCACCUCUCCGGCGGCUCAGUUCCAGACCAAAGCCUACCUCCGAGCCCCCAAUGUCUUCCGCAAAGCCAAAGACAACUACUCCCUCCUCUCCUCCUCCGCCUUCUUCUCCGCCAAGCCCUCCUCCUCUUCCUCCGCCGCGUCUUCCUCCACCGGCCUCGUCGCCUGGUAUCUCGGCCUCGUCAAGAACCGCCCCGUUCUCACCAAGAGCAUCACCGCCGCCCUCAUUUACACCGCCGCCGAUUUGUCCUCCCAGGUCAGCACAUGUGCCUGUUACCCUCGUCCAUUCUAUUAUGUUGGUUUAUGUCAUUGGUUUUUUUUUUUUUUUUUUUUUUGAUGAUGAAUGGAUGAUGUUGAUGAUCAGACUAUUGCGAAAUCGGAUUCUUAUGAUCCUGUGAGGACAUUAAGGAUGGCCGCAUAUGGGAUGGUGAUUUUGGGGCCUUCGCUGCAUUUUUGGUUCAAUUUCAUGGCCAAAACGUUUCCGAAACGUGAUAUGUUAUCGACAUUGAAGAAAAUGGCUAUGGGGCAGGGAGUGUAUGGACCUACUAUGACUGUUGUGUUCUUCUCUGUCAAUGCGUUUUUACAAGGUAUUGUGUCAUAGUUCAUUGAUGCAUUGUUGUUUAAAGGUUACAUUUUUGGGUGAUGAAUGUGCUGUGAAGGUUCAAGGAUUAUAUGUAGUUUGCUUUUGGCUCGAUUUUGUAUGAGUACACAGUGUUGGUUUGACAAAAAGUGUAAACUUUGCACAUUUUAUGACUGCAAGUUUUGGAUUAAAAAGGUUGGGUUCUCGAAUGAGCUCUUUAAGGUUGUUUUAUUUAUUAAUAUGUGACUAUCAUGAUUGAGCUGUGUAAUUUAUCCUUGCAGGCUCUUGAAUCCAAACAGAGUGAAACAAGUCUAGUUAUUUUGAGUUUGCUUUUGGAACCUGUUUGUAGGGAAGAAGGGGUAUAGUGAAUGAUGGUAUAGAUUUAUGUUUCUAUGUAAUGGAUUCUUGAAGCAAAGCUUUGUUAGGAGAUUUGUUGUUUUUGUUUUGUUACAUAUAGUGAAUGAUUUUUUUAAGCUUACUGUUGAGUAAUCUUUUCAUUUUGUUGCAUAUAAUCUCUUUUGUUAUAUUGAAUCGAGUGUGCUGAAAGAUGUUCUACUCUAGACAAGGUUUGUAGUUGAAGUUUAUAUGAGAUCUAAGUAGUUGCCAUGAUUGCUGAUCUCAGGUGAAAAUGGUGGAGAAGUUUUCGAUCGUUUAAAGCGAGACUUGGUUCCUACAUUGUUGAGUGGUGUUAUGUAUUGGCCAAUGUGUGAUUUCAUCACAUUUAGAUUCAUUCCUGUCCAUUUGCAGGUAUGUACAAUAUUAUUGUUUAUUUUUUUCUCAUUCAAAUUCUGGAUUUGGAAUGGCUUUAUUUCAAAGGGUUGUGCUGCUGGAUUUAUUCAUGCAAUCAAAGGUUUCACCUGCCACACACAAAACUUUGGUAUAUGGAUUAUGUGCCAGUUAAGUGUGCCAGCAGAUUGAACAAUUUGUGAUUGGAUUACUUCACCUGGUCAUAUGCACUCAUGCCAUGUACUCGAGUGAUUUGAACAAUAUGUGAAUUAAUUUCUGAACUUUGUUUAUGAUGUCCUCAUUUGACAGACAUUAGUGAGCAAUGGAUUUUCAUAUCUAUGGACCAUUUAUUUGACAUACAUGGCAAGCCUGGAGAAAGCAAGUGCAGUAGCUAUUGAUUGACUGUAGUUGCCUUUUUCGCUCGUCUUCAAGAUUUAGACUUUUCUCCACGAACUUGCUUGGAAGUUGCUCGUGAUGCGACAUGGUAAACCCUCGCAGAAGUGCUAAUGUGACAUCCAUAGCCCAAGCAUGUUUGAAGCUGAAGCUAUGACACUAAUUUCAAAUUAGACCAAGUAAAUUCAUUGGUGAUCAUGUUUAGCUACCUGUAAAACAUUCGUAUACAUGAUGCUUUUAUGUUCUUGGACCCAUGUUUAAGGGGUUUGUAAAGUGGUGGGUUAAUGUUAUUGAAGACACUUUGGAACUAUCAGUCACAGUAUGUUCUUGGAAGAAAUGCUUGCAGAAGUAGAGAUCUUGGCUGUUGUCUACCUCAUAAUUCAUGAUGUCAUGCAAUUGAGUAAUAUAAAAACAGGUUGAAACUCUGAGAUGGAUAAAUGGCAAGAUUAAGUUAUUGAAUACACAAUCCCUUAACAUUUGUAGUAAAAACCACCAACUAAAGUGGAAAGUCCACUUAGCCUUGUAGAAUUCAGCAGAUUUGCUUUGCAAAAUCAAGUGGUGGAAAAAGAGGCUAAUCUGAAAUCAAAGUAUCAAACACCAAAGUGAUAUGCAUGAACUUGUUUCCAGACAGUUGACGAUUCUACAACUCUUGCUGUGUCACACCAAAUGGCAGAACAUAUCAGUUUAGUAUUAGAGAAUCCGAAUAAGAAUCUCAGAAGUAUACCGGUUCAAAGACCUUCUUUUUUUACACACUUUUUGACACUAUUUUAUAGCUAUUAGAUUUUAAAACUUUUAAAAGUCUAGAUUAAUUAUCAAUAUAAUGUCAACUCACAAGAAAAUGAUGCGGCAGGUGACAUGUUUAAUUAAAAAAAAAAAACGCAUCCAAUUCUAACUUGAAAAAUCAAAAUCAAAUUGUACACAAUAAAUAAAAUAAGAACGUCAGAAGAAAAAGAACCAUUCACAUACAAAUGAGGUCUGGAACCAUUCAUAUUGAGGUCUAGAGUUUCUCAGGUACAGAUAGACUCUGAAAUUGUGCUCCAUAAAAGAGUUGGACCGAAGGUUCAGAUACUGUAAAUUAUGCAGCAUGCCUGAGGAGAUGGGCACCAUAUCAUUUGUACAACAUAUAUAAGAACGUCAAAAGAAGAACAUAUAUAAGUUGCUCCACACCGAGCAACAUCCAAAUCCCCAUCUAUCCAAAAUAUUCAUCACUUUUCCAUCGACAAAGCCAUCACCAAGGAAACAAAACACUUGUGAUCGUAGAAAUUGUCCAAAGCAUUACCGUCGUCACAUUUUCCAUCGACAAACGCAAACCCAUCACCAAGAAAAAAAAAAAUAACAAUCUUGAUCAUUGAAAUUGUAAUGGGUAUGCCUAAUGACGUUCUUCUUUUUCGACUGAAGUUCUUCUUUUGAUGUUCUUUUGUUUUUUUCUUUUUAUUACGAUUUUNNNNNNNNNNNNNNNNNNNNGUUUUUUUAAUAAAGAAAAGUAUAAUCUAAUUUGUUAUGAAAAUAAAUAGUCAUAGUCACAUCACUUUCUUGUGUGUUGACAUUAUAUUAAUAAUUAAUAUAGACUAUUAAAAGUUUUAAAAUUUGACGUCCACGAAUGAGUGUCAUAAAAUAUGUAUAAAAAAAAAAGGACCCUUGAACCAGACCCUAGUUCAAUUACAAAAACAGUACAAAAGACCAACACAACAUCAAGAGUUUCUUGAAAACUGGUAGCCUAACUGCGACAAAUGCUGUGUGAGGUCCAUGUAGAAAAAUACACCACAAACUUUGGAUUUCACUAUCAACUAUUGGCAGUCUUCAGAUGUAAAUGGAUCCCCCAGUCGCUGCUCCUGAUUUAAACGGCCACCAGUUGAGUGCCUGCACAGAAGUGAAACGGUACCGAACAUUCUUAUCGAUUGCCAACUUGAGUACAUACACAGCAGGCUAUUCACCAGCUUGUCGUCAAGAAAGUCCUCAACUGUAACAAGCACGAACAGACAACAGAUAUUUCAGGACAUAAUCAAUAAUCCUGGCAGUCAUUCCUAGAAAAAGGAAAAUUUUCAUACUAGGAGUAAAUGUAAUCUGUUCAAGAUCAAACAACGGAAUUAGCAAAUAGCACGAGUAAUAUGAAGCAACACCUCUGACUCACAGAGAUAUAUCAAAAUACGUAAAAUAUCGAGCUGAAAAUAAUGUUGCAAGCAGGAACAACUAAUAUGCUUGGUGGUGAUCAAAAUCUCACCUGUUUAGACUGCAGCUUUGCUUCCAAGCUGCCUUCACCCAUAAAGAUGUUACUUGAAGAAAUUUGGCUCAAAUCAAAACAUAGUUUCUUGGCCUUAAACAUAUGAUUAUGUAAAAAACUUCAAAUGCAGUUAUAACAGCUGAGCCAGCGAAAAUCUUUGUGUAUAAAUCGGAAGAGAGAUAUGAUAAAACAGCAAAUAUUUAAAGGAAGAACCAUAUAUCCUACAUGGUUGGAUUGUUGUAACCUGGUUGAGAUUAACUAGAGAUUGACUAUGAUACCAAAUUACUACAAUGCACCAAAUGCGCCAAGAGUGUAAGAAAUAUAUCAUUUCCAGGCACCUGUUACUCAAAAAGACACUGAGAAAAUAAGCCAAGUGAGCAGGCAGGUUCAGUUCCUAGAGGAACAAGACCCUUGUAUGAAAUAAGGUAAGCACUAAGCAAUGCAUGAAAAUUAAAUAGGUAACUGUGAAUAGUGUUUUCCCAUAACUUGGCCAAUAAGAUGGAAACAAGAACAAACAGUACUUCAAGAAUAGUGUCAAAAUCUUCAAACGCUAACAAUCUCUUUCUUUGUAUCAAAAAGUUUACAUUUCAAUAUAUUAACAUGCCUCCUCCAUAACAAUUAUCAAGCCUAUAUCUAAAUCCAACCUAAUGAACUUCAUCUAUCAGUUCCCAGAUAAUCUAAAACUUAUUUCAUAUUGCAAUACAGUAACAGCUAGGAACUAAAAUUCCAUGUAAGGUUAAAGAAUUGGUUCAAUACACUGAACCAUGAAUAAAUUGAGGGUAUAAUUUCAUGUUUCAUGAUCUCAUCAACGGCUAAUUGUGUGUAUAAGGAUGCUGUCACUCUUCAUAAGCUCGCAAAGAAAUCUUCUCAAGCUGUGUGGCCCAAUCUUCACCAAGUAUUUGGGGGUUUAACUCCAUUGCUGCACGAAAAUCUACCAUAGUAGCAUACUUUGCUUCCCUUAGCAUAUCUCCCCUACCAAUCAUCCCAUUUGAACCAUGUAUGUACAGACUAUUCGGUUGCUCUUUUUCAUGCCUACUCCCAGCUAACCGAAUACAAGGUUCAAUUAACCUCUUCAGAUAAGCAUCUAAUCCGUUAUUCAAGAGGUUAAGACAGUCAGUAGAAACAGUCAUACCCUCCAUCUCCAACUUCUGCUGCAAACGACCUCUUAAUGAUCUUGUAUCAGGUAGCUCACCGCAGUUUUGACAGGUCUUAGGGCGGUAUGCACCAAAGACUGAUACAUUAUGAAGAAAUUUGCGUGAUCCACCCAAAUUCAUAGAUAUACCAAGAGGAGCCGUUACGGGACUUCGACUUUGAAUACCCGGACUUCCUGCAUCCUGUUCAACCUCUUCUCCAUCCUCCACUGAUGCAACUUCAACCGGAGGCCUGCUGCCAAGAGAAAGCAAUUCAUGCUGCUCUUGUGCUUUGGAAAUUGGUUCUUCAGAAACCAUAUUUUGCGGCUUCCCAUUUGGCACCAAAGGAAUUGGACGAUCCCGAAACUUUCGGUGGUCUCGAUUAAGUGGAGAGCGGACCUUGCGAGGGGAUUUAGGAAAGAUCGACUGAAGGCAACUCCCAGGAUACUCAUUAUCAACUUUAGCAUUAAGGCUUCCCGCUUUCUUAACUCCUCUCAAGGGUGGAGCUUUUGCAAGGCAGGCAUUCUUGAUAAUGGACUUUAUAAGCCGGUUAUGCAGAUGGAUAUUUUCCCUCCCAAUAGUCUGAUUGCAAAACUUGUCGAACUCACACUUGCUAAUCUUGGCACUAAACAAUCUCCUGAUCAUGUCAAAGUACCUCUCCGCUCUUUGAUGCCCAAUCUUCUUAAUAAUCAGAUCCUUCAGCUCCAACGUAUCGAUCCGAGAAUAGCUCUGAUUGGGCAUCAUCUUUUCCCCUCCACUUCCACUAAUUUACCAAAAUCAGAUCCUCAAUUCCUCAUUGAAAACCUUGCAUCCUCUAACAAAACCCAGAUGCCAGAAAACAAGAUCUCCAAUCCAAAACCUAAAACCCUAAAUUCCAUAGAGUGUUUCCACCUGAAGUUCACCAAAUUAGCAUCAGCAAACAAAAACCCAGAAUUUCUCAAUCAAAAUAAACAAAUCCCCAUCUACAAUUUUUACUCGAAUUACAUACACAAAUACUGUAACAAAAGUAUAACCUCCACUACUUCUGAACUUCAUUGAUGAUAAAAGUUACUAAAAAUUAUUCAGACAUUCACCAAAAGAUUAGGGGAAGCAGAAAUUGAACAAAUUAAGCAGAAAUAUGUAAAAGUAAGACAAACCCAUUUGAGAUUUGGACAUGAAUUGAAAACCCAAAAAGCGAAUUGACCAAAGAAUGAAGAAUAGAGACGCACCUGAGUUGAAUGAAGCCGAUGCUGCUGGGUUUGGCCUGGUCGAGUUUCACUGCUUUUAUUUUUCUUAUUCUUGGCUUGUUUUUUUUUUUGGGGGUUCGAUUGAUUUGGUACUUGUUACUGUUUGGAAGCGGCUCUAUAUAUUUGGUUUUGGGUUGUGUCAUAACAAGGACAGACCAAACAGGGAUUAAGGAAGGAAGUUAAGCGCUUUUUGUGUUUCGCUUCGAAGCUUCUAUUGUCGUACCACGGCACGUGCGAGCUUCUGAGUUGAGAAUUCAGAAUUGAGUUGUUCCGCUUAGGACCCGUUUGUUUGCGCCUUUUUUAUUUUUUGGGUUUCCUUUCCCUCCAUUUGUCCCUUGAAACAUAGAUAUUUUGUAAAAAAUAAAAAUAAAAAUAAAAUAUUUCAGUCAUUUUGGCUUGCAGGGCGAGACUUAAACUAAAGUAUUAUUUAGAUCAGGGUUCAAACCCACUUCCAGCCUAUCUACUCAUAUUUGGAUAUUUAGAUGGUAGGACACAAAUGCACAUAACAUAAUGAUUAGAGGAUUAUGACGGCUAUGUAAAUCUCAGGCACCUUAAUUUAAUUGAGUUUAAUUUCUUAUCAAAAAUAAAUAAAAAAUUAGAGGAUCAUGACCAAAUAAAAGUCCCAAUGAAGGAAAUGAAAAACUUAUUUCACGUUUGAGUUCUGAAAUAGCUGAGAAGAACCAACCCUUACCCACCUUCACAUUUUCUUUCCUCCUUCAGAGUUCAGAUGCCAGCAGAACUGGUAGGUAGGUGUCAUAAAUGGAUUGGUGAUGUCCAUGAGGCCAUGAGGGGGACACCAAAAGAGAUCCUGGGUUUCACAAUCAGUUAGGCUCCUUCAAAUCUGGAUUUAAAUGCCAACUGACUGCAGUUGAGUGCCUUUACACAGGUAUUCGAAUAAAUACAACAUUCUGGAAGCAAGCUAGUUUGGGGAAGUCCUGCAUUUAGCUUUUCAAGUCAUCAUCAAUAGAAGCUAGUCCCAUAGAGCAUAUGUGGACUUGCCACCCAAAUAGUGUCUCAGUGAUUAUGAAAAAUUGGAAAAGAGAUGUUGGUAUAUCUGCUACCCAGAAUUGGGAUAAGAAUCUAAUGUUAUGUUCAUCACUUUUGAAGAAGUGGGCCAAGCUAACUUUCCCGGAUUUCUCCAAGGAAACAAGCAAUGAGUUGUCCAAAAUCCAGGCAGCGUUAGACUCAGAUAUGUAUGACGUUUCUAGUGUAAUAUCAGAGGCAUCAAACAAUAUCCUAAAUUGGUGGAAUUACGAAGAAAUUUAUUGGAAACAGUGCUCCCGGAUUUCUUGGCUUGCUCAUGAUUAUGCAUAGAAGGCACAACAAGAUUCUACGAAUAAAGGACAAUGGUGGGGAAUGGUUAUUGGAGGAACGACAAAUAGUGAAUCACCUAAAUGGUUUCUUCAGAGAAAUGUAUCAAGCUUCGUCCUCGGAGCAUGUUGAUGAAGUUCUGGGUUUUGUAAACAAGGUGGUCACUCAAGAAAUGAAUGAUAUUCUUCUUGCUGACAUAAGUCUAGAUGAGAUUAAAGAAGCUGUGUUCAGUUUGAGUCCGCAGAAAGCUCCUGGUCCUGAUGGUUUCUCUGGAUCUUUUUAUAGAACUUAUUGGGAUAUAGUCAAGUCUCUCCUGGUGGAAGCUAUCACAGAUUCUUUUCAAGCUCAAACUAUAUUUGGUAAGUUCAACCAUACCUUUAUAGUGCUCAUUCCAAAAGUUGAAGCUCCUGAACAUGCUUCAAAUUCAGACCUAUUGCUCUGUGUAAUUUUGCAUAUAAAAUCUUGAUGAAGAUCAUCUCAAAUAGGCUAAAGCCUAUGAUGCCUAACCUGAUCUCGGAAAACCAAUCAGCCUUUGUAGAGGGGAGUCAAAUUCAAGACAAUACGGUGAUAGCCCAUGAGUGUUUCCACCAUCUUAAACUUCUGAGAUCAAAAGGUGAUGAGGAAUUGGCUUUAAAAUUGGACAUGAAUAAAGCAUAUGAUAGAGUGGAGUGGAGUUUUCUUCAACAGGUUUUGGUUAAAAUGGGUUUCCACAGUACUUGGGUUCCUCUAGUUAUGUCAUGUGUGACUACAGUUUCAAUGGCAAUGCUAGUAAAUGGGUCUCCUGGAAAAACUUUCAAACCUACCAGGCGGCUUCGCCAAGGAGACCCUUUAUCCCCCUUCCUUUUCUUGUUUGUUAACAAUGUGCUUUCUUGCAUGAUAAGAAAGGCUUGCUCGGAGAAUUUGUUGAAUGCAAUAAGGGUAAAUACGGGUGGUCCUCUUAUCAGUCACCUCUUUUUUGCGGAUGACUCCAUCUUCUACCUAAAAGCUUCUCUUGCCGAUUGUGAAGUCCUAUCAGACAUUCUCCUUCACUACUGCUCAGCCUCUAGACAGUCUAUCAAUCUACAAAAAUCCUCUUUGUUCUUCAGUCUAAGCACUAGACUGAAAAUAGUUCACCUGUUAAGUUGGGUGCUUGGGAUGUAGGCGAUGCAAAAUCCAGGGAAUUAUCUAGGUCUCCUUACCAUUUGGGGAAGAUCUAAAGUCUCUGCUUUAAAUUUCAUUAUAGAAAAAAUUGAGGCAAAGAUUAAAGGUUGGAAUCAAUCUACUCUAUCUCAGGCGAGCAAGGAAGUAAUGGUGAAAGCAGUUGCUAUGGCUGUUCCAACAUACUCUAUGUCUAUCUUCAAAUUCCCAAAUUCAGUGUGCAAAAAGAUUAAUUCGGCCUUAUCAAACAUCUGGUGGGGCAACAAUACGAAGAAUGGACUUCACUAGAAAAAGUGGGAAGCUCUGGGAACCCCAAAAUGUCAAGGAGGUAUGGGUUUUAAGAGUAUGACUGAUUUUAACACUACUCUUCUGGCUAAAUUGGGAUGGCGCAUUAUCAACAACCCUCAGGCUUUAUGGGUUCGUGUCCUUAAAAGUAGUUAUUUCCUUUAAACUUCUUUUCUCAAAGCUACCUGCGGAGCCUCUCCUUCUUGGGUUUGGUCGAGCAUCAUUCAUGGCCGCUCUCUGUUGAAAAAAGGUUUGCACUGGAAGAUAGGAAAUGGUCAUUCUAUUGAUUUCUGGAGAGAUAAAUGGAUUACUUCUUUUCCCUCUGAAAGUCUUCAUAGAUUUGCUCCCCCAAACUCUCUUUCAGUACCUGUCUCUCUUUUCAUUAACCAUGAUCAGGCUUCCUGGAAUAUUUCCUCUAUUCUCCUCCUUCUUCCUCAGGAGUACAUCAAUGCAAUCAUGGCAACUUCUUUUGGUACUGCAGCGAAUGAGGACUCCUUGAUUUGGAAAGAAUCCAACACAGGUUUUUACUUAGUAAAGUCUGGUUACAAGAGUUGUAUAUUUGCUCAAGUCACAGCCCUUUCCACCAAUCCUCAUCAGCCACAUUCUUCCCCCAAAGAAUUAUGGAAAUGUGUGUGGGAUCUUCAAGCACCUCCUCGGAUCAUUCACUUUAUUUGGAGAGUUCUUUUUGGAGCUAUUGCCACAAAUCUGGCUAUAAGCAAACGACACAUUGCUCCCUCCUCGCUUUGCCAAAUUUGUGAUAAUCAUUCAGAAUCUAUUGAGCAUGUCAUCUUACUUUGUCCUUGGGCUCAAAAAUGCUGGUUUGUGCAUCCUCUAUCCUACAAGAUAGACGAACAAUCUAUCACUUCCAUGGAUAGAUGGUUCACAGCUCUUUGCAAUCAUUAGUCUCAAAAUAGCUCAAUGGCAAACUCUUUCUUCACUCAUGUUGUUUUCUUACUUUGGUUCAUCUGGAAAGGAAGAUGUGAUUAUGUGUUCAACAAAACUGUCCCUGAUCCAAUCUCAGUUGCUUCAAGAGCUUUCUCAACAGUGGAAGAGUUUUUAAGAGUCCCCAGAAAUUUGUUUUUUCCUAAUCAUAGCUUGGGGACUGUUGAUACUUCAAAUCUCCAGUCUUUCCCCCCCCCCGAAUCAAGGAAUAUUGAAGUUUAACAUAGAUGCAGCUUGGGAUUCUGAUUCCCUCUCCUGUGGUCUUGUUGUAGUGGUUCGAAAUGAGAAAGGUCUUCUUGUUGCUGGAUCCUCAAAGUUAGAUGUUGUGCCAUCUGCCAUUGUUGCAGAAGCCAAAGCCAUUGAUCUUGGCCUCUGUUUAGCUUCUUCUCUCUCCCUCUCCUCUUUUUCGUUGGAAUCAGACUCUCUCUCCCUCAUUUCGGCUUUUCAAAAUCCUUUGUCGCUUGUGGAUUGGUCUGCUUCAACCUUAGUCUCAAGAAUCAAGCGAAAGACCUCAAGUUUCAAGCGAAUUUACUGGUCCUAGACCAACAGAAAGGCAAACUCGGCUACGGACUUUGUGGCCUCUUUGUCUCUGCAGAGGGUGUGCUCUGAAGAUUGGUUUUCCAACCCUCCAUCCUCCCUCAUGCGAAUUUUACUUUUUGAUGCAGCUUCUCCCCCUCCUUAAUGGGGCAGUUUGUCUCCUUUGUGUUUUUGUUUUUAGCUGCUGUUGUUUGUUUUUUCUCUCAAUGAAUUUUUCAUUACCAAAAAAAAAAAAAAGAACCUGAAGACAAGCACAUCAGUUAACAUUUAUUAGGCUGAAAAAAUGGCUAGAUUGGUCUUUACUAUGACAUGUAGAGGUAACUGCAACACUUUAUGUCAUAGUGUACUCUGUAGCUUCCCUUGGAAAGAAAAAAGUAAUGAAAAUAAAACCCUUUUCUAAAGCUGCUUCACAUCUAGUCCCUAAAUAACUGUACCUUCAUUCAGCAGACCAAUAUGGCAAUAUCUAUGUCACAUAUUCAUUCUGAUUUCUGAUUUGAAGAUGAUUCUGAUUCUUCUAGUUUCUCUGCCAACGUCAGAUCAACCGUGAAUGUGAGCAUGCGGGGAUUGGAAGCAACAACAACCAGACAAAUGUUCAUGUAUAAUUGUAUAUCAUAGGUGGGAAACAAAGUUGAGCUCAACGUGGUAACUAAUAUGCUUAAUCAUAAUCAAACUCUCACCUCUUAAGGAUUACAGUUGACCAUCAGUGCCCAGAAACACAAUUCCUCACUAGUCUACUAGAAAGUGAAGCAAGCUCACAAUCAAAGAUAUAAAUUAUGAUGAAACCAGAACUUAGUUCUGGUGACAUACUGAGGCAGUUGAACUGUCAAGGGCUACAUGUAUGAAUGUCAGCACAGAGGCCAAAGAGUAAUGCCACGUGUGUAAGUUCAAAAUAUAACUGUCUACCCUGC
This 18432-nucleotide long non-coding RNA is filed under the name Fragaria vesca (wild strawberry). RNAcentral's name for it is "long non-coding RNA (FVES_LNC000514)". The record is from RNAcentral. Lineage: Eukaryota; Viridiplantae; Streptophyta; Magnoliopsida; Rosales; Rosaceae.